This 81-nucleotide small RNA is filed under the name Neotamlana nanhaiensis. RNAcentral describes it as "Tamlana nanhaiensis Flavo-1 RNA". It matches the Rfam family "Flavo-1 RNA". The record is from Rfam by way of RNAcentral. Lineage: Bacteria; Pseudomonadati; Bacteroidota; Flavobacteriia; Flavobacteriales; Flavobacteriaceae.
AAUUAGUAAGCGCGUUAGGGAUUGAAGCGACAUCCUUUUUUGAAGUAUGAGAAAAAGAUAAAGCGUAAAGCCUGACACCGA